GAUGAACGCUGGCGGCGUGCUUAACACAUGCAAGUCGAACGAAGAAACCUUGAAUGAGAGCUUCGGCAGGAUUUCUUGGUAUCUUAGUGGCGGACGGGUGAGUAACGUGUGGGCAACCUGCCCUAUACUGGGGAAUAAUCACUGGAAACGGUGACUAAUACCGCAUGUCAUCACCGAGGGGCAUCCCUUGGUGAAAAAGGAGUAAUUCGGUAUAGGAUGGGCCCGCAUCUGAUUAGCUAGUUGGUGAGGUAACGGCUCACCAAGGCGACGAUCAGUAGCCGGUCUGAGAGGAUGAACGGCCACAUUGGGACUGAGAUACGGCCCAG
RNAcentral lists this ribosomal RNA (326 nucleotides) under uncultured bacterium. RNAcentral's name for it is "bacterial SSU rRNA". It matches the Rfam family "Bacterial small subunit ribosomal RNA", at positions 28 to 334 of the family's 1533-position model. The record is from RNAcentral.